AUGAAAAGGAUUGUGCUAUAUUACCAUGUUAUGAAGGUAGAGCUGGGAUAUGCCUUUCUUGAACUGUGUGGACAUGCUCAUGGCGGAGGUGAUUCAACUUUUGGUUGGUUUCAUUUCAAGAUUGCUAGGAAAAUCGGAGGUGCUUGUUGUGUUUGCAUUCUAGAUGUAAUUUUCUUGAGAAGUACCUCAAAUGAACAUGGAAGUUUUGCCUUUGAAGCGAUCUGUUUGAAGGUUCUUUCAAGUAGAGUGAAGAAACUCUUGGAUUGUGUCUGCAAAAUUAGUUUACUGCUGCUGUGUUUAUCUCGAGUGGUAUGUCAAGGUCUAUUCAGAUGCUGGUUACUGUGUGGGAUUCUACCAAUCCUUCUGAUCACUAGUUUGUGCGUUUGA
RNAcentral lists this ribosomal RNA (387 nucleotides) under Triticum aestivum (bread wheat). Its description in RNAcentral is "partial small subunit ribosomal RNA". Lineage: Eukaryota; Viridiplantae; Streptophyta; Magnoliopsida; Poales; Poaceae. The record is from RNAcentral.